RNAcentral lists this ribosomal RNA (460 nucleotides) under uncultured bacterium. RNAcentral describes it as "partial 16S ribosomal RNA". It matches the Rfam family "Bacterial small subunit ribosomal RNA", at positions 338 to 795 of the family's 1533-position model. The record is from RNAcentral.
CCUACGGGUGGCAGCAGUGAGGAAUAUUGGUCAAUGGGCGCGAGCCUGAACCAGCCAAGUAGCGUGAAGGAUGACUGCCCUACGGGUUGUAAACUUCUUUUAUAAAGGAAUAAAGUGAGGCAAGUGUGCCUUUUUGUAUGUACUUUAUGAAUAAGGAUCGGCUAACUCCGUGCCAGGAGCCGCGGUAAUACGGAGGAUCCGAGCGUUAUCCGGAUUUAGUGGGUUUAAAGGGACCGUAGAUGGGUUGUUAAGUCAGUUGUGAAAGUUUUCGGCUCAACCGUAAAAUUGCAAUUGAUACUGGCAGUCUUGAGUACAGUUGAGGUAGGCGGAAUUCGUGGUGGAGCGGUGAAAUGCUUAGAUAUCACGAAGAACUCCGAUUGCGAAGGCAGCUUACUAAACUGCCACUGACAUUGAUGCUCGAAAGUGUGGGUAUCAAACAGGAUUAGAUACCCCUGUAGUC